This 2688-nucleotide ribosomal RNA is filed under the name Triticum aestivum (bread wheat). Its description in RNAcentral is "partial small subunit ribosomal RNA". The record is from RNAcentral. Lineage: Eukaryota; Viridiplantae; Streptophyta; Magnoliopsida; Poales; Poaceae.
AUGAUGUUCCUCUUUGAUCCGUGUGUGUGGUGUGGCUAUUUAUUAAGAGAGUACCAGUAUACACCUCACAUUAUGCCAAUUUACACUUCUCCCCGAACGUCACAUUCAAGGGCUGAACUCGAUACACAGCCGACACCGGCGCGCAUGAUGCAAGCAGACCUUUCUCUUGUCAAUGCAAACACAUCAAAGGCAACAGCGAACCUGCACAUGACCACGAUGGCGCUUGGGGAGCUAGAGUUCAACGAGGUUUUCUUGAUAUAUGUGUACCUUGGCCGCAACAAGAUAGAAGAUGUGUGUGAGUUACGAGAAGAUUAUAUUAGGUCACUGCCUUCACUUUCAAUGAAAGAUUUUGAACCAGAAAUUUGGCACAGAUUUGGUCACAAGUUUGUAGCCGAAUCAGAUAGAAGGAGGAACCUUGACUGGGGGGAUUCAAGUAAGGCAAGAGUGUAUCAUUGCUGUUUGGAGAUAGCAGAUGGCUCCGUAGUUACCAUCUUUAAGGGGCCAUAUCUUGAAACCUCGAGGAACAAGCUGCAGAAAGUUGUUGGCGAUGAAAACAUUCUUGUUGUGAAGUUCUCGGAUAUACCUGGGCAAAGAAACUUUGGCAAUAACGUCGGUGCCUACUAUAGUGUUUACCAUAAGGUUGCUGAAGAUGGCAUCAGCUUGGGUUUGCGUCGUUACCGUUAUCUCAUUCACAAAGACGGGGGCAAGGAGGAGAAACGAAAAGAGGGAACCAAGAAAUUUUCUUCCGGUGUUAAAUGCUACUUUCUACGCACUGAAUCUGGGUGGAACAGAGAUGAUGGUUAUAUCCUCUCCAAUAAAACAAUUGAUGAGGCCCGCAAACUUUUUAUGCACGUUCACACUGUUCCCACCUUGGCAAAAUAUUUGGCCAGGUUUGCUUUGGUAUUGUCCAAAGCUACAACACUACUACUCCCUCCAAAUGGAAACAUUGUUUUCAGUCAUGGGGAGCCUUUGAUCCACACUGAUGGGACUGGCCUAAUCUCAGAAGAUAUAGCCAAUAAAUGCCCGACGAGUGUCGUCAAGGGAAACUUUUCGAGGACACCUGACCUGCAAGAACGGAGGGAGUAUAAUGGACUUGCUGUAAAGGGAACCCUUCUCGUUGAUAGAAGGCUUCUUCCUGGAACUAUUAAGAUACGGCGGUCAAUGAUCAAAACAGCAUCUGAUCCAAAUCUACAGGACGAGCAGUCCUUUAACUCACUGGAAAUAGUUGGUACAAGCAAAUAUCCAAAAAGAGCCUUUACAUCAAGGUUUUUAAUCGCACUGCUUCACUAUGGAGGGGUUCCAGCAGAUUAUUUUUUGGAGCUUGUAAGGAAGGCACUAAAAGAUGUUGAGAAAGCUUGUUAUAAAGCUAGUGAUUCUCUCGAAGUUGCAUAUAACCAUGCCAACUUGGAUGAUUCCAUGUCGGCACGAAUGAUUCUUUCUGGAAUUCAACCUGAAGAUGAUGCAUAUUUGCAAUACCAGCUGGCUUUUAUGAGUCGAGAAGAAAGAGAAGGAAUCAAAUUAGGAAGGAUUCCUAUUGAGGAGAGUUACUAUCUGAUGGGCACAUCAGACCCUACAGGGACACUAAAGCCCAAUGAAGUUUGUGUGAUACACGAGAAUGGACAAAUUUCUGGAGAUGUUCUUGUCUAUACAAAUCCUGGGUUACAUUUUGGCGAUAUACAUGUGUUAACUGCAACUCCAAUUCCUAAUUUGGAGAAGGAGAUUGUAGGAUUUUCCAAAUAUGUUAUAAUAUUUCCUAUUUCUGGUCCACGGUCUUUGGCUGACAAGAUGGCUAACAGCGACUUCGACGGUGAUAUGUACUUUGUAUCAAGAAAUCCCCAGUUACUUGAGCACUUCAGACCAUCUGAAGCAUGGGUUCCGAGAAACCCACCAAAAAAAGUCGAACAAAAGAAUCCUCGGGAUUAUGGUGGACCCCAGCUGGAAAGCCUGUUGUUCAAAGAAUUUUUGAAAAGUAGAUUUGUACCCAGUUAUACGAUAGGUACAGCUGCAGAUUGUUGGCUGGUAUACAUGGAUCAACUUUUGGUAGGCCAAGUUCAAGAAAGCAAACGCGAAAUGGAAAUAAAGGAUAAGACGCUUGACUUAGUUGACAUAUACUAUGAGUCUCUGGAUGCUCCCAAGACAGGGAUCAAGGUCGAUGUCCCCGAUGCACUGAGGGUCAAAAAAUAUCCCCACUAUAUGGAAAAAGGAGAUGAUCGGUCCUACCAUUCAACAUCAGUGCUCGGACAGAUCUAUGACGAAGCAAAAGCAUUGUCAGAGCAGUCUAAAGAUAUUCCUCCAAUCAAUAUAUCGCCCGUGGCGUGCUUUACAGAGGUGGCCGUGGGGGUAACCAAAGAGCGCAAGGAGCAGUGGAAAAGGCUUUACGACGAGUAUCGAGGAGAGAGCACAGCCCUCUACGAUAAGAAGUACAGCAAAGAAGAGAGAGACAUGCUGUACGACGCCGAGGAGUUCGACGAUAGCCUGAGGAACUACAACGAGGUGUUCGGCGAGGCCUGUGCCAUCUACCAGAUCGUCUAUGAGUACGCGCAGAGUCAGAACAAGGCUACAUUGUGCGGCUUUGCGUGGAAGGUCGCCGGCCGCGCACUGUGCCAUCUCCACGCAAUAAAGCGUGGCGGGGAGACGGUGCUCUGCUCGCAAUCCGUCCUCCGGGACGCUUUCAAGAAGAACCGUUGA